RNAcentral lists this small RNA (459 nucleotides) under Mus pahari (shrew mouse). RNAcentral's name for it is "sRNA (MGP_PahariEiJ_G0008254.1)". Lineage: Eukaryota; Metazoa; Chordata; Mammalia; Rodentia; Muridae. The record is from RNAcentral.
CAUCUUAAUACUUUUUCAGUAGAUCAUGAAGCAGUUUAUUUAAUAUUAUUUGGAUAACAAGCCUCCACAUGAAUGGGAUUCGAAUGUCAAUUGUCUUAGGGGGAAAAAGAUUUAUUGGUUGGUAAAUAUUGAGAAAAGAACACUGAUAAAGACCAGCUUCAGCUGCGGCCUCGGCCGGGGACGGGAGAACAGGCCUGUGUUGUGUUUUGGGGCCCUGGGAAGGCAAAAACUGGUGAAUGUCUGCCUUUGUUGGUGGGUGUAAAAGUGGAGCCCACCACAAAUAAUUUCUUAUUUCUGUUCACAUAGAUUUUAAAUUAUGUAGCUCCCCUACCUUGUUAAGCAUUAAAGCGGUCUUGUUUUAAGGAAAAGGCACUUAAAUAAUGAAGCUUAUGUAGUUUGUUUUCAGACAUCAAUAUCUGGCUUUGAGUGGCACAAAGAGAUAAAGGAAUGUGGAUUCAC